UGUAGCUCGCGUUCGAGCGUGUCCCGGGGUCUUCGCGCGUAGCCUCAGGUAGUCCUUACCUCACCUUAAAACUCGGGGUAAGGGCGCGACUGCCUAUGCAGGGGUGAAGAGUCUUAAUGCCACAGGAAGACCCAAAAGAGGCCGAAGGCAGCGGAGGCCCGAGCUCUGGUCGCUGCGAGCUGUUGGCUGCUUUCCCCCGAGGGCUUCAGCCGGGCCCCUCAGGCUCUUCACCCGGCAGAGCGGCCUAGGGCCUGGCAAUGGCGAGUGGCGCCCCGCCUCACGGACCCCGUCCUGUCUCGCGUCGCUGACUCAGUUGUCCUGGUGAGACUUUUGAGACAGUUGCCACACUACCCCGCCUGGACCGUUUCUUUCACGUUUCACAGGAAAGGCGAUCUUUCUAUAAUCUGCAUCGCUUUUAAAGUCAUACUGUGGGAGAAGAGGCAAUUUGGACACACAGGAAGACACCAGGAAUGCACAUGCGCAAGAGGAAAGGUCCUGUGAGGACGCAGUGAGAAGGCAGCGGCUGGCCGUCUGAAAUCCAAGAAGAGAGGCCUCUGGAGAAAUCAAACCUGCCUACAACUUGAUCUUGAACUUCUAGCCUCCAGAACUGUGAGAAAAUAAAGUUUUGUUGUUUAAGCCA
Long non-coding RNA from Pteropus alecto (black flying fox), 640 nucleotides. RefSeq lists it as uncharacterized. The record is from RefSeq and is a predicted model, not a curated record. The transcript is spliced from 2 exons. Lineage: Eukaryota; Metazoa; Chordata; Mammalia; Chiroptera; Pteropodidae.